Long non-coding RNA from Argiope bruennichi, 744 nucleotides. RefSeq lists it as uncharacterized. The record is from RefSeq and is a predicted model, not a curated record. The transcript is spliced from 5 exons. Lineage: Eukaryota; Metazoa; Arthropoda; Arachnida; Araneae; Araneidae.
UUUCUUAACGUCAGUAUGUGCGUGAGCUCUAUCAUAAUAUUUUAAACUUCAUUUUUAUCGUUGCGAUUGCAUCUUUGAAGAUGCCAGGAGAGCACAUUCACACAUCUCACAGAUAGAACAACGGAAGAACAACCAUGCCCAAACCGGGACUCGAACCCAGGACGCUCAGGUCACGGGGAAGACGCGUUACCCCUAUGCCAGGACGCCGGCAAGAUUUAUAAUAGUCAAAUUUAUACUAUUUUAAUAUUUUGUAUGUAUUUGAAUCUUAUUGAUAUUUAUUUCUAGAGUAAAUUGGGAGUAUUUGAAGACAAGUAGUUAAAUUAAGUUUAAGCUUAAUCUCUCCGGGACUGAAGCCAUACGGAGAAAACGACAGACCGUCGUGAAGCAACCUCAUCCGCCAGAUGAAAUUCAGUCACACUAGCGUCGACACUAAAAAUCGACUGCAGGCUUAUUCACUCCACGAUCCAGUAAUUAUCUUUCUCUGUGGAUUCAAAUAUAAGGUUACUUGCUUUGUCUAAAUGGAGUUUUAUUACUAGAUGUAAGAUUUGAAUAGAUGCUGCAGCCUUAGAUGUGCUUAAAUACUGAAAAGGAAGAUGUGACAAAAAAAUAUCCAGAUUUAUGUUUCUUUUUCCGACUGGGACAAGCAAAUUGAAAUGGAAAGAGAAUGAAUACACAAAAGAGGAAUUUUCUCAGAAUCAUAUGUAAUAAAGUCAAUAAAAUGAAUUUUAUAUACAUUUUUUUAAA